This 519-nucleotide ribosomal RNA is filed under the name uncultured bacterium. RNAcentral describes it as "bacterial SSU rRNA". It matches the Rfam family "Bacterial small subunit ribosomal RNA", at positions 32 to 524 of the family's 1533-position model. The record is from RNAcentral.
AAUCAACGCUGGCGGCGUGCCUCAGACAUGCAAGUCGAACGCGAAAGGCCCCUUCGGGGGCCGAGUAGAGUGGCGCACGGGUGAGUAACACGUGGGUAAUUUACCUCUGGGUGGGGAAUAGCGGCUGGAAACGGCCAUUAAUACCGCAUAAUGCAGCGGCUCGACAUCGAGACAGUUGUUAAAGCGGGGGCUUCGUAAGAACCUCGCGCCUGGAGAAAAGCCCACGGCGGAUUAGCUAGUGGUAGGGUAAUGGCCUACCAAGGCGACGAUCCGUAACCGGCCUGAGAGGGGCGGUCGGUCACACUGACACUGAAUAACGGGUCAGACUCCUACGGGAGGCAGCAGUCGGGAAUUUUGGGCAAUGGGCGCAAGCCUGACCCAGCAACGCCGCGUGAAGGAUGAAAUCCCUCGGGAUGUAAACUUCGCAAGAACAGGAAGAAUAAGUAGAAGACAAUACCUUCUAUGAUGACGGUACUGUUUGUAAGCUCCGGCUAACUCCGUGCCAGCCGCCGCCGUAAU